Molecule: ribosomal RNA, 498 nt
Filed under: uncultured bacterium
Lineage: Bacteria
Description: partial 16S ribosomal RNA
Rfam family: Bacterial small subunit ribosomal RNA
Source: RNAcentral
GACGAACGCUGGCGGCGUGCCUAAUACAUGCAAGUCGUGCGGACCUUUUAAAAGCUUGCUCUUACAAGGUUAGCGGCGGACGGGAGAGUAACACGUGGGCAACCUGCCUGUAAGACUGGGAUAACGCCGGGAAACCGGGGCUAAUACCGGAUCGUUUUUCCCCCGCAUGGAGGAAAAAGGAAAGGCGGCUUCGGCUGCCACUUAAAGAUGGCCCCGCGGCGUAUUAGCUCGUUGGCGGGGUAAAGGCCCACCAAGGCAACGAUGGGUAACCGACCUGAGAGGGUGCUCUGCAUAGUUGGGCCGGAGACACGGCCCGCACUCCUAGGGGUGGGAGCCGUAGCGAAUCUUCCCGAAUGGACGAAAUUCUGACGGAGCAACGCCGCGUGAGUGAAGAAGCCCUUCGGGUCGUGAAACUCUGUUGCCGGUGAAGAACAAGUGCCGUUCGAGCAGGGCGGCGCCUUGACGGUACCCGGCCAGAAAGCCACGGCUAACUACGUG